UACGAAGGGGGCUAGCGUUGUUCGGAAUUACUGGGCGUAAAGCGCACGUAGGCGGACAUUUAAGUCAGGGGUGAAAUCCCAGAGCUCAACUCUGGAACUGCCUUUGAUACUGGGUGUCUUGAGUAUGGAAGAGGUGAGUGGAAUUCCGAGUGUAGAGGUGAAAUUCGCAGAUAUUCGGAGGAACACCAGUGGCGAAGGCGGCUCACUGGUCCAUUACUGACGCUGAGGUGCGAAAGCGUGGGGAGCAAACAGG
RNAcentral lists this ribosomal RNA (253 nucleotides) under uncultured bacterium. RNAcentral's name for it is "partial 16S ribosomal RNA". It matches the Rfam family "Bacterial small subunit ribosomal RNA", at positions 524 to 776 of the family's 1533-position model. The record is from RNAcentral.